Molecule: ribosomal RNA, 465 nt
Filed under: uncultured bacterium
Lineage: Bacteria
Description: partial 16S ribosomal RNA
Rfam family: Bacterial small subunit ribosomal RNA
Source: RNAcentral
GACGAACGCUGGCGGCGUGCUUAACACAUGCAAGUCGAACGGAAAGGCCCCCUUGUGGGGUACUCGAGUGGCGAACGGGUGAGUAACACGUGAGUAACCUACCCUUGACUUUGGGAUAACUUCAGGAAACUGGGGCUAAUAUCGGAUAGGAGCUCCUGCUGCAUGGUGGGGGUUGGAAAGUUUCGGCGGUUGGGGAUGGACUCGCGGCUUAUCAGCUUGUUGGUGGGGUAGUGGCUCACCAAGGCUUUGACGGUUAGCCGGCCUGAGAGGGUGACCGGCCACAUUGGGACUGAGGUACGGCCCAGACUCCUACGGGAGGCAGCAGUGGAGAAUAUUGCACAAUGGGCGGAAGCCUGAUGCAGCAACGCCGCGUGCGGGAUGACGGCCUUCGGGUUGUAAACCGCUUUCGCCUGUGACGAAGCGUGAGUGACGGUAAUGGGUAAAGAAGCACCGGCUAACUACGUG